Molecule: ribosomal RNA, 552 nt
Filed under: uncultured bacterium
Lineage: Bacteria
Description: bacterial SSU rRNA
Rfam family: Bacterial small subunit ribosomal RNA
Source: RNAcentral
UAGGGAAUCUUCCGCAAUGGGCGAAAGCCUGACGGAGCAACGCCGCGUGAGUGAUGAAGGUCUUCGGAUCGUAAAACUCUGUUAUUAGGGAAGAAUAUAUGUGUAAGUAACUGUGCACAUCUUGACGGUACCUAAUCAGAAAGCCACGGCUAACUACGUGCCAGCAGCCGCGGUAAUACGUAGGUGGCAAGCGUUAUCCGGAAUUAUUGGGCGUAAAGCGCGCGUAGGCGGUUUUUUAAGUCUGAUGUGAAAGCCCACGGCUCAACCGUGGAGGGUCAUUGGAAACUGGAAAACUUGAGUGCAGAAGAGGAAAGUGGAAUUCCAUGUGUAGCGGUGAAAUGCGCAGAGAUAUGGAGGAACACCAGUGGCGAAGGCGACUUUCUGGUCUGUAACUGACGCUGAUGUGCGAAAGCGUGGGGGAUCAAACAGGAUUAGAUACCCUGGUAGUCCACGCCGUAAACGAUGAGUGCUAAGUGUUAGGGGGGUUUCCGCCCCUUAGUGCUGCAGCUAACGCAUUAAGCACUCCGCCUGGGGAGUACGACCGCAAGGUUG